AAUGAACGUUGGCGGCGUGGAUCAGACAUGCAAGUCGGACGAGCUUCAGUAGCAAUACUGAGGAAAGUGGCGAAAGGGGCAGUAAUGUUUGGGUACCUACCUUGGGGUCUGGGAUAGCCAUUCUAACGGAUGGGUAAAACUGGACGAUUUGGCGCAAGUCAAGAAAGGUAACGCCUCGAGAGGGGCCCAAAUGGUAUUAGCUAGUUGGUGAGGUAAUGGCUCACCAAGGCGAUGAUGCCUAGCGGGUGUGAGAGCACGACCCGCGCCAUUGGCACUGAGACACUGGCCAGACUCCUACGGGAGGCUGCAGUCGAGGAUCUUCGGCAAUGGGCGAAAGCCUGACCGAGCGACGCCGCGUGUGCGAUGAAGGCCUUCUGGUUGUAAAGCACUGUCGAGGGGGAGCAAGCCGCAAGGUUGAGAGUACCCCUGGAGGAAGCACGGGCUAAGUUCGUGCCAGCAGCCGCAGUAAAAC
Molecule: ribosomal RNA, 472 nt
Filed under: uncultured bacterium
Lineage: Bacteria
Description: bacterial SSU rRNA
Rfam family: Bacterial small subunit ribosomal RNA
Source: RNAcentral